This 103-nucleotide signal recognition particle RNA is filed under the name Rubrobacter radiotolerans DSM 5868. RNAcentral describes it as "SRP RNA RNA component of signal recognition particle". It matches the Rfam family "Bacterial small signal recognition particle RNA". Rfam says of the family: The signal recognition particle (SRP) is a universally conserved ribonucleoprotein involved in the co-translational targeting of proteins to membranes. Lineage: Bacteria; Bacillati; Actinomycetota; Rubrobacteria; Rubrobacterales; Rubrobacteraceae. The record is from RNAcentral.
GGCCCGGUCCCGGGCAAUGAGGCCCGGUGAACCGUGUCAGGACCGAGAGGUAGCAGCACUAAGCAGGUAACCUCAUGUGCUUUGGGGUAGCCGGGCCGGAGUG